Molecule: non-coding RNA, 515 nt
Filed under: Trichomonas vaginalis G3
Lineage: Eukaryota; Parabasalia; Trichomonadida; Trichomonadidae
Description: Eukaryotic small subunit ribosomal RNA
Rfam family: Eukaryotic small subunit ribosomal RNA
Source: Rfam by way of RNAcentral
AUUGUUUUUGGUGGUGCAUGGCCGUUGGUGGUGCGUGGGUUGACCUGUCUAGCGUUGAUUCAGCUAACGAGCGAGAUUAUCGCCAAUUAUUUACUUUGCCGAAGUCCUUCGGUUAAAGUUCUAAUUGGGACUCCCUGCGAUUUUAGCAGGUGGAAGAGGGUAGCAAUAACAGGUCCGUGAUGCCCUUUAGAUGCUCUGGGCUGCACGCGUGCUACAAUGUUAGGAUCAAUAGGACUGCGAGCCUGAGAGGGUGCGCUACUCUUAUAAUCCCUAACGUAGUUGGGAUUGACGUUUGUAAUCAGCGUCAUGAACCAGGAAUCCCUUGUAAAUGUGUGUCAACAACGCACGUUGAAUACGUCCCUGCCCUUUGUACACACCGCCCGUCGCUCCUACCGAUUGGAUGACUCGGUGAAAUCACCGGAUGCUUACGAGCAGAAAGUGAUUAAAUCACGUUAUCUAGAGGAAGGAGAAGUCGUAACAAGGUAACGGUAGGUGAACCUGCCGUUGGAUCAGUU